Long non-coding RNA from Cryptomeria japonica (Japanese cedar), 2144 nucleotides. RefSeq lists it as uncharacterized. The record is from RefSeq and is a predicted model, not a curated record. NCBI's taxonomy places the organism in Eukaryota, Viridiplantae, Streptophyta, Pinopsida, Cupressales, Cupressaceae. The transcript is spliced from 3 exons.
UUAAAAGUAUUUUUAUAAAACUAUGUAAAAAUCAGUUUUAUAACUUUUUCUAGAUAAUUCUUUAUAGCAGAGAAGAAGCUGCGAAUAUUCUGGAUGCUGCUUCAAACCCUGGUGGCCCACCCCGGCGUUCUUCUACUCAAUCGAUUGCAACUGAUGACCAAGCUUUAGCUUUGCAUUCUGACGUGAAUUUCUCUAGAGCACCUCUAAGGUCUAUUGCUUUUCUUAUUAAUUCAAUUUUCAUGUCUGUCUAAGGACAUAACAGCAACUACAUGCUCAUGAUUGGAAGUGACAUUGGCUAGUUGGCAAAGUUGCCCUAGCUGUUUUCGGUUUACUGCACUAGGCUGCUUGUGUUAAUUGGUAAAGUUUUAUUAUGUGAGGCCGAUAGGCCAUUCACAUGUUUCCAUUUGCUAUGUCGGCCUGAAGGAUCCGACCAUAGCUAUCACAUUAACAAGCUUUUUCAAAAUUCAGCUGUAUUUUGUGACUAUACAAAGAGUUAAGUAUGUUCUCUGCUCGGCUUGUGAUCAGGGCAUGAAUGUUCAUCAAAUCAAUAUUUUUUUGUCAGAUGUUGUAGUUGUGACUGCCCUGGUAGCUGUGUAUGGAAAAUGUUGAAGCUCAGAUAAAGUGUAUGAACUGUUUGACUGAAUGCCUUAAAUAAAUGUUGUCUCAAUACAUUUUUAGCAAGUGCAAAUUGGCAGGCAUUAAGCUUAAUUUCAAAGAUCUUAGCGAACCGGAUUGAUUUAUCCAGUUCCAUGGCAGUGUGGAUAAGCGGGAAACUCAAAAUUAAAGAGGGGUCACAGCCAAAAUAUCUGACAAAAAGGGCUACUGUCGAAUCUUCCGCAGCUAUUCUGCCAAGAAUAAACUUUAAGGGCUAACUAUAUAAUAGCAUUGCAAAACCCUGUAUGUAUGCAGGGUCUUAAAAAACCAUGUAAUAACAAAGCAAAAAGGCGUAGGAACAUAGAAACUGUGAAAUAGAAAGUCGUUGUUGAACAUCUAGAAUGGACCAGGCGGACUUCAUGAGACUAAGGUUCUGCUCCUCUGUCAAGUGGACAUUAGCAACACCGAGCACACGUCCUCUUCCCAGUUGCAUAGGUAGGAUAAGAAAGACCUCUUCUUCAAUGCUGUGAAAACCCUUGGCCAGAAUAGAAAUCGGGUGGCUCUUUCUCUGGUUACGCCGCAAACUCCUGGCCAAAUUAGUCAUCGAGUACAUUACAGUAUCUGAAUUUUUAGGGUGAAGGUGUAUUAAAUUCAAUAUGCAAUGGUGGUUUAUUUUCAUUAGCUAGCUAUGUUUUUCAAUUUAUAAAUGCCCAAGGAGAAUGCCUCUAAGGAAUUUAGGAUUUUAAUUACUCUUUAUUGUAUUCUAUACAUUGGCUAAGCAGAUUACCACAAGAAAAUAAGACUCUUUUAUUGACAGGAACUUCACAGGUCCAGAUGUCCAUUUGUCCAUUUUUAUCCUUUUACAGAGUCUUUGAGUUUACAUGAUUCAUUUGUCAUUUUCUGAAUGCCUUUCCAGAUUUUUUAAAAUAAAUCUAUUCUGUGCAUAUACUACAAUCAUCGCAGUUUACGAGUAACAUUUCUUAGCGGCAUUCUAGCAAACAGUUCACUGUGCCCUGAGGCUGGGAGGAUGUUGGCAAAGGUUGUGCAAUUUGGCUUUAUAACUACCGACAGGAGCUUGCUAGAUACCCUGCUUUGACUACAGAAAUCUUUCUAGUCGAAGAUUUAGAAACAGAGUAUAUAUAUUGUGAUCCUUGUCUUGUACAAUUUCGGCAUUUGGAUCCUUUGUUUGAAAAUUUGUUUAAAGCAUGAAAUCUUUAGAGGGCGACUUAUUUUUAAUUGAGGUUUGAGUGGAUUCAAAGAGCCGGAGAAUUCUUUCCUCGCCACAUAAAGUUGGAAUAGUUCUAUGAUUUAUUCCAUUCAAUUAGCUUUUAAUACCAGACAAGUUUUCAGUGGAUUUGAAUUUUGGGUUUUACUGUAACUUUAUGUUUUAUUUUUUUAUAUCAUACCAUUCAAGUACGCUAAAACAACUUAAUAUCAUAUGUGGUGAAGCUCAACAGAGAGCUAAAGCGGGGAGGGUUUUUCGAUAUUAUGGCCAUAAUCUCAAGGGAUCUGUACUUUAUAUAAUUCCAUAUCAGAAAGCACUUUCUUUA